This 475-nucleotide long non-coding RNA is filed under the name Nicotiana benthamiana. Its description in RNAcentral is "long non-coding RNA (NBEN_LNC016492)". Lineage: Eukaryota; Viridiplantae; Streptophyta; Magnoliopsida; Solanales; Solanaceae. The record is from RNAcentral.
UGGUACCUUGUCUCUUAACAUACGACCGCCUCCGCCGCUCCUCUACCCAAUGCCGCCGGUAGCGAUGCUCCGAUGACCCCCAAAAUUACACCACCCCACCUCCUCGACUUCCUCUUUCCAUUUUUCCAUUGACAUCCUUCGAAUAGCAGUCAAACGCGUUGAAUAUUUGUUUGAAGCAGAAGCUACUCCGCCGUGUGCGGCGGCGCCGAUGACAAUCGACCCCAAAAGAACGCCAAACACUCCCCUCACCUUCCUCACCCAAAAUCUGUAAGUCUCGUCCCUCUAAUGACGAUCAAGGUUCUCGAAUCUUAGAUUGAGUGAACCCCAGAAUCCAAAAUUAUCCCAAAUUGGGUUCUGUGGAAUAUUUAGGUCCAAAAUGACUUUAUUUAUGUGUUCUUAUAAGAACACACGGUUAAUAUCAUAUUUGGGCAAAAAUUUGAAGAGUUGAAGAUCCAGGCUUCCUUUUCCAUCCCUC